AGCAUAUCAAUAAGCGGAGGAAAAGAAACUAACAAGGAUUCCCCUAGUAACUGCGAGUGAAGCGGGAAAAGCUCAAAUUUAAAAUCUGGCAGUCUUUGGCUGUCCGAGUUGUAAUCUAGAGAAGUGUUAUCCGCGCUGGACCGUGUACAAGUCUCCUGGAAUGGAGCGUCAUAGAGGGUGAGAAUCCCGUCUUUGACACGGACUGCCAGGGCUUUUGUGAUGCGCUCUCAAAGAGUCGAGUUGUUUGGGAAUGCAGCUCAAAAUGGGUGGUAAAUUCCAUCUAAAGCUAAAUAUUGGCGAGAGACCGAUAGCGAACAAGUACCGUGAGGGAAAGAUGAAAAGAACUUUGGAAAGAGAGUUAAACAGUACGUGAAAUUGCUGAAAGGGAAACGCUUGAAGUCAGUCGCGUUGUCCAGGGAUCAACCUUGCUUUUGCUUGGUGCACUUUCUGGUUGACGGGUCAGCAUCAAUUUUGACUAUUGGAAAAAGGUCAGGGGAAUGUGGCAUCUUUGGAUGUGUUAUAGCCCUUGGUUGCAUACAAUAGUUGGGAUUGAGGAACUCAGCACGCCGCAAGGCCGGGUUUUUAACCACGUCCGUGCUUAGGAUGCUGGCAUAAUGGCUUUAAUCGACCCGUCUUGAAACACGGACCAAGGAGUCUAACAUGCCUGCGAGUGUUUGGGUGGAAAACCCGAGCGCGUAAUGAAAGUGAAAGUUGAGAUCCCUGUCGUGGGGAGCAUCGACGCCCGGUCCAGACCUUUUGUGACGGUGCCGCGGUAGAGCAUGUAUGUUGGGACCCGAAAGAUGGUGAACUAUGCCUGAAUAGGGUGAAGCCAGAGGAAACUCUGGUGGAGGCUCGUAGCGAUUCUGACGUGCAAAUCGAUCGUCAAAUUUGGGUAUAGGGGCGAAAGACUAAUCGAACCAUCUAGUAGCUG
This 931-nucleotide ribosomal RNA is filed under the name Cortinarius sp. PDD 72855. Its description in RNAcentral is "LSU rRNA". It matches the Rfam family "Eukaryotic large subunit ribosomal RNA", at positions 37 to 953 of the family's 3401-position model. The record is from RNAcentral. Lineage: Eukaryota; Fungi; Basidiomycota; Agaricomycetes; Agaricales; Cortinariaceae.